UACGGGGGGGAGCAAGCGUUGUUCGGAUUUACUGGGCGUAAAGGGCGCGUAGGCGGUCGUGACAAGUCACUUGUGAAAUCUCCGGGCUUAACUCGGAACGGUCAAGUGAUACUGUCGUGCUAGAGUACAGAAGGGGCAACUGGAAUUCUCGGUGUAGCGGUGAAAUGCGUAGAUAUCGAGAGGAACACCUGCGGCGAAGGCGGGUUGCUGGGCUGAUACUGACGCUGAGGAGCGAAAGCGUGGGGAGCGAACAGG
This 255-nucleotide ribosomal RNA is filed under the name uncultured bacterium. Its description in RNAcentral is "partial 16S ribosomal RNA". It matches the Rfam family "Bacterial small subunit ribosomal RNA", at positions 524 to 776 of the family's 1533-position model. The record is from RNAcentral.